Non-coding RNA from Nicotiana tabacum (common tobacco), 521 nucleotides. NCBI's taxonomy places the organism in Eukaryota, Viridiplantae, Streptophyta, Magnoliopsida, Solanales, Solanaceae. The record is from RefSeq and is a predicted model, not a curated record.
UCCGAGAUCUAGUCCAGAUGUCCACAAUAAAGAUGAAUUCAUUAAAAAGAGACACUCACUUCCCGGUUCAAAUGGUAGGCAAGGUUCACCUCGUAUCCAGCGGUCUUUGUCUAAUGCACAGCACGGUGCAAAGGGAAACGGAACUCAAUCUCCACAGGAGAGGAAAUGGCAGCGAUGAGUAAAGUUCCUCAGCGGCACAACUAACGGAUGGCAUAUGAUGGAUUGGCGCUUUCUUUGAAUGCUGGUCAUCUGCUCUUAGGAAAUCCAUAGCAAAGCCAUGCCCUGGACUAUUGUUUAUUUGUGAAGAGAAAUGUAGAAAGAGUUAUUUUUCCUGUAAAUUUACUAUUUGCUCAUGCCUACUCAAACCCCCCUUUCUUUUUUCAAGGAUUUUGUUUGAGAUGCUUGUACUUCUUUUUUCCUUUACUUCACAUUUGUGUGUAUCUUUAUAAUAUUGUGUGCUUUUGUGGCUGAUGUAUUUCUGACUGCUAAUGAGAAGUUUGGAAGAGUUGUUUUCAGUUGAA